UGCAGCUUGGUAUGUUUCUGUGGUUCCUCCUAUAAACUCAGUAAGGUCUCGGAACACCAGAAUGGAAAAUGUAUGAAGAAUGCCACUUGUAGUUAGCCUUGUACUCUGUAAGCACAAAUUCUCCUAAAGCCGAAUCCACGGUUUAAAAUCCUUUGCGGUCAUCAUCAUCAUCAUCAUGUACGCGUUACCCAACCAUGAUCAUGAUGUAAACAUUACCCAACUAAAUCCUUUGCAGUGUGACACAGUCCGUGGGACCCACACGUUCUAAUCUUACCUGUGAAAGAAAGAAAGGAAACUUGGCCUUAAAUGGUUUAACACAAGCUGUGCGACCCACACCACCCAUCUUCUACAUGGGCUGAUCACCUAUCCAACGAAUCAAAUGGCAAAUUGCCCUC
Long non-coding RNA from Magnolia sinica, 395 nucleotides. RefSeq lists it as uncharacterized. The record is from RefSeq and is a predicted model, not a curated record. NCBI's taxonomy places the organism in Eukaryota, Viridiplantae, Streptophyta, Magnoliopsida, Magnoliales, Magnoliaceae. The transcript is spliced from 2 exons.